Molecule: microRNA precursor, 97 nt
Filed under: Ursus americanus (American black bear)
Lineage: Eukaryota; Metazoa; Chordata; Mammalia; Carnivora; Ursidae
Also listed under: 2 other names
Description: mir-544 microRNA precursor family
Rfam family: mir-544 microRNA precursor family
Source: Rfam by way of RNAcentral
AUCACCUGGGAAUCUUGUUAAAAUGCAGAUUCUGAUUCACUAGGCCUGAAAUGGGCCUAAGAUUCUGCAUUUCUAAGAAGCUUCCAGGUAAUGACAA